This is a non-coding RNA of Paramuricea clavata, 87 nucleotides long. The record is from the annotation of a GenBank genome assembly. NCBI's taxonomy places the organism in Eukaryota, Metazoa, Cnidaria, Anthozoa, Malacalcyonacea, Plexauridae.
AAAAUUCCUAUAGGAAUUUGGGACAAAAUUCCUAUAGGAAUUUUUCCUAUAGGAAUUUUGUCCCAAAUUCUUAUAGGAAUUUUUCCU